RNAcentral lists this ribosomal RNA (368 nucleotides) under uncultured organism. Its description in RNAcentral is "bacterial SSU rRNA". It matches the Rfam family "Bacterial small subunit ribosomal RNA", at positions 526 to 896 of the family's 1533-position model. The record is from RNAcentral.
CGGAGGGUGCAAGCGUUAUCCGGAUUUACUGGGUUAAAGGGUGCGCAGGCGGAUAUGUAAGUCAGUGGUGAAAUCUCUUAGGCUUAACCUGGAAAUCGCCGUUGAUACUAUAUAUCUUGAAUGCUGUGGAGGUAAGCGGAAUAGGUCAUGUAGCGGUGGAAUGCUUAGAUAUGACAUAGAACACCUAUUGCGAAGGCAGCUUACUACGCAGAUAUUGACGCUCAUGCACGAAAGCGUGGGGAUCAAACAGGAUUAGAUACCCUGGUAGUCCACGCCCUAAACGAUGAUUACUCGACAUACGCGAUACACUGUGUGUGUCUGAGCGAAAGCAUUAAGUAAUCCACCUGGGAAGUACGACCGCAAGGUUG